This 72-nucleotide transfer RNA is filed under the name Nippostrongylus brasiliensis. It matches the Rfam family "tRNA". From Rfam's summary of the family: Transfer RNA (tRNA) molecules are approximately 80 nucleotides in length. Lineage: Eukaryota; Metazoa; Nematoda; Chromadorea; Rhabditida; Heligmosomidae. The record is from Rfam by way of RNAcentral.
UUGUUAGUAGCACAGUGGUUAGCGCACAGCCCCGGAUAGGUUGAGACGCAGGUUCGAAUCCCGCCUGAGGUA